RNAcentral lists this ribosomal RNA (2116 nucleotides) under Escherichia coli. RNAcentral's name for it is "bacterial LSU rRNA". It matches the Rfam family "Bacterial large subunit ribosomal RNA", at positions 1 to 2133 of the family's 2925-position model. The record is from RNAcentral. Lineage: Bacteria; Pseudomonadati; Pseudomonadota; Gammaproteobacteria; Enterobacterales; Enterobacteriaceae.
GGGUUGUGAGGUUAAGCGACUAAGCGUACACGGUGGAUGCCCUGGCAGUCAGAGGCGAUGAAGGACGUGCUAAUCUGCGAUAAGCGUCGGUGAGGUGAUAUGAACCGUUAUAACCGGCGAUUUCCGAAUGGGGAAACCCAGUGUGAUUCGUCACACUAUCAUUAACUGAAUCCAUAGGUUAAUGAGGCGAACCGGGGGAACUGAAACAUCUAAGUACCCCGAGGAAAAGAAAUCAACCGAGAUUCCCCCAGUAGCGGCGAGCGAACGGGGAGGAGCCCAGAGCCUGAAUCAGUGUGUGUGUUAGUGGAAGCGUCUGGAAAGGCGUGCGAUACAGGGUGACAGCCCCGUACACAAAAAUGCACAUAUUGUGAGCUCGAUGAGUAGGGCGGGACACGUGGUAUCCUGUCUGAAUAUGGGGGGACCAUCCUCCAAGGCUAAAUACUCCUGACUGACCGAUAGUGAACCAGUACCGUGAGGGAAAGGCGAAAAGAACCCCGGCGAGGGGAGUGAAAAAGAACCUGAAACCGUGUACGUACAAGCAGUGGGAGCCUCUUUAUGGGGUGACUGCGUACCUUUUGUAUAAUGGGUCAGCGACUUAUAUUCUGUAGCAAGGUUAACCGAAUAGGGGAGCCGAAGGGAAACCGAGUCUUAACUGGGCGUUAAGUUGCAGGGUAUAGACCCGAAACCCGGUGAUCUAGCCAUGGGCAGGUUGAAGGUUGGGUAACACUAACUGGAGGACCGAACCGACUAAUGUUGAAAAAUUAGCGGAUGACUUGUGGCUGGGGGUGAAAGGCCAAUCAAACCGGGAGAUAGCUGGUUCUCCCCGAAAGCUAUUUAGGUAGCGCCUCGUGAAUUCAUCUCCGGGGGUAGAGCACUGUUUCGGCAAGGGGGUCAUCCCGACUUACCAACCCGAUGCAAACUGCGAAUACCGGAGAAUGUUAUCACGGGAGACACACGGCGGGUGCUAACGUCCGUCGUGAAGAGGGAAACAACCCAGACCGCCAGCUAAGGUCCCAAAGUCAUGGUUAAGUGGGAAACGAUGUGGGAAGGCCCAGACAGCCAGGAUGUUGGCUUAGAAGCAGCCAUCAUUUAAAGAAAGCGUAAUAGCUCACUGGUCGAGUCGGCCUGCGCGGAAGAUGUAACGGGGCUAAACCAUGCACCGAAGCUGCGGCAGCGACACUAUGUGUUGUUGGGUAGGGGAGCGUUCUGUAAGCCUGUGAAGGUGGCCUGUGAGGGUUGCUGGAGGUAUCAGAAGUGCGAAUGCUGACAUAAGUAACGAUAAAGCGGGUGAAAAGCCCGCUCGCCGGAAGACCAAGGGUUCCUGUCCAACGUUAAUCGGGGCAGGGUGAGUCGACCCCUAAGGCGAGGCCGAAAGGCGUAGUCGAUGGGAAACAGGUUAAUAUUCCUGUACUUGGUGUUACUGCGAAGGGGGGACGGAGAAGGCUAUGUUGGCCGGGCGACGGUUGUCCCGGUUUAAGCGUGUAGGCUGGUUUUCCAGGCAAAUCCGGAAAAUCAAGGCUGAGGCGUGAUGACGAGGCACUACGGUGCUGAAGCGACAAAUGCCCUGCUUCCAGGAAAAGCCUCUAAGCAUCAGGUAACAUCAAAUCGUACCCCAAACCGACACAGGUGGUCAGGUAGAGAAUACCAAGGCGCUUGAGAGAACUCGGGUGAAGGAACUAGGCAAAAUGGUGCCGUAACUUCGGGAGAAGGCACGCUGAUAUGUAGGUGAAGCGACUUGCUCGUGGAGCUGAAAUCAGUCGAAGAUACCAGCUGGCUGCAACUGUUUAUUAAAAACACAGCACUGUGCAAACACGAAAGUGGACGUAUACGGUGUGACGCCUGCCCGGUGCCGGAAGGUUAAUUGAUGGGGUUAGCGGUAACGCGAAGCUCUUGAUCGAAGCCCCGGUAAACGGCGGCCGUAACUAUAACGGUCCUAAGGUAGCGAAAUUCCUUGUCGGGUAAGUUCCGACCUGCACGAAUGGCGUAAUGAUGGCCAGGCUGUCUCCACCCGAGACUCAGUGAAAUUGAACUCGCUGUGAAGAUGCAGUGUACCCGCGGCAAGACGGAAAGACCCCGUGAACCUUUACUAUAGCUUGACACUGAACAUUGAGCCUUG